Molecule: ribosomal RNA, 271 nt
Filed under: uncultured bacterium
Lineage: Bacteria
Description: partial 16S ribosomal RNA
Rfam family: Bacterial small subunit ribosomal RNA
Source: RNAcentral
UACGUAGGGUGCGAGCGUUAAUCGGAAUUACUGGGCGUAAAGCGUGCGCAGGCGGUUUUGUAAGCCAGAUGUGAAAAUCCCCCGGGCUUAACCUGGGAAUGGCAUUUGGGACUGCAAGGCUCGAGUGCGGCAGAGGAGACUGGAAUUCCUGGUGUAGCAGUGAAAUGCGUAGGAUAUCAGGAGGAACACCGAUGGCGAAGGCAGGUCUCUGGGCUGACACUGACGCUCAUGCACGAAAGCGUGGGGAGCAAACAGGGAUUAGAAGUACCCG